GGAAGUAAACGUAACAAGGUCUCCGUUGGUGAACCAGCGGAGGGACCAUUAAAGAGUUGCAAAGCUCCCAAACCAUUGUGAACAUACCUUCAACGUUGCUUCGGCGGGUUGGCCCCGGUCUCCGGGGUCCCCGGCCCUCACGGGCGCCCGCCGGAGGUACCUAACUCUUGAACUUUUAUGGCCUCUCUGAGUCUUUGUACUUAAUAAGUCAAAACUUUCAACAACGGAUCUCUUGGUUCUG
RNAcentral lists this unclassified non-coding RNA (241 nucleotides) under plant metagenome. RNAcentral's name for it is "partial contains small subunit ribosomal RNA, internal transcribed spacer 1, and 5.8S ribosomal RNA". The record is from RNAcentral.